GGGGUCGUAGCGCAGAGGUCGUCGCGAUCAGCUAUCACCUGAUAGGACGCCGGUUCGAUUCCGGUCGGCCUCGCCA
This 76-nucleotide transfer RNA is filed under the name Actinoplanes couchii. RNAcentral's name for it is "tRNA-Asp". It matches the Rfam family "tRNA". From Rfam's summary of the family: Transfer RNA (tRNA) molecules are approximately 80 nucleotides in length. Their secondary structure includes four short double-helical elements and three loops (D, anti-codon, and T loops). The record is from RNAcentral. Lineage: Bacteria; Bacillati; Actinomycetota; Actinomycetes; Micromonosporales; Micromonosporaceae.